RNAcentral lists this ribosomal RNA (253 nucleotides) under uncultured bacterium. RNAcentral's name for it is "partial 16S ribosomal RNA". It matches the Rfam family "Bacterial small subunit ribosomal RNA", at positions 524 to 776 of the family's 1533-position model. The record is from RNAcentral.
GACAGAGGCCCCGAGCGUUAAUCGGAAUUACUGGGCGUAAAGCGUGCGUAGGUGGUUCGUUAAGUCUGUCGUGAAAGCCCCGGGCUCAACCUGGGAAUGGCGAUGGAUACUGGCGAGCUAGAGUGCGGUAGAGGAGAGUGGAAUUCCCGGUGUAGCAGUGAAAUGCGUAGAGAUCGGGAGGAACAUCAGUUGCGAAGGCGGCUCUCUGGACCAGCACUGACACUGAGGCACGAAAGCGUGGGGAGCAAACAGG